GCACAGUCAGCUUGAUGUUGAGGAGAAGGGCUGUGCAGCAGAGAGGCGCUUUAGUUUUUCAUUCUCCUGCAGUGGAAGAACAUUGCUGCUCUGCUGUCUCUUUGACUUUAACAACUCCAAAGACAUGUUGCUUCACCUCUUUUUACUUUGCUCUCACUUUAUAGCCCUGAGUUCCAUGAACAGCAUAAAGCCAGAAAGGACUGAAGAACAUGUUGCAGAGGGAAGAAACAUCAACCUGGCCUGUAAAUAUGAGGGUGUUAUCUCCAAUAUCCAGUGGUACCGACAAUACCAGAGAUCCAGACCAGAGUUCCUGCUCUCCAUCGCAGAGGGAGGAUCGAUCCAUCCAACUGGUUCUGCUUUCUCAGCUCACAUCAACAAAACAGAGAAACGUGUAGAUGUGGAGAUCAUCUCAGCUAAAGUGACUGACUCUGCUGUGUACUACUGUGCUCUGCAGCCCACAGUGACAGGAAACAGCAAAACUCUGCACAAAAACCUCUGCAGCAAACACAACACAAUACUCCACAACGUCCACUAGAGGGUGUCACACACU
This is a non-coding RNA of Chelmon rostratus (copperband butterflyfish), 550 nucleotides long. The record is from the annotation of a RefSeq genome assembly. NCBI's taxonomy places the organism in Eukaryota, Metazoa, Chordata, Actinopteri, Chaetodontiformes, Chaetodontidae.